RNAcentral lists this long non-coding RNA (1050 nucleotides) under Cyanistes caeruleus (blue tit). RNAcentral describes it as "lncRNA (ENSCCEG00000017288.1)". The record is from RNAcentral. Lineage: Eukaryota; Metazoa; Chordata; Aves; Passeriformes; Paridae.
AGCCGCUUGGGCAGCAGCCACUGGGCAGCCCUGCCGGAGGAGACAUCGCCACCCUCCCCAUGGUGGCAGCAGCUCUGUGGGCCCCGAGCUCUGUGUCAGGGGGGCCUCAGUCACAGCAGCGUGGCCUGGGCAGCCGCGAGGGCCCGGGCUGGCCGCCAGCCCUGCCUCUGCCCACUGCCCCUUCCUGGAGGCACCCAGUGGCCGUGGCCUGGCAGCACCCCCUGCCCUCCAUGUCCCCAGCCAGCCCAGCCUGGGCACCUCGGGCUGUCCCCACCCUCCCGCUGGGGUGGUGUCCCAGCCUCCAGGCCUUCUGCUGCAGGCCUGGGGGACAUUUUGGGGCAGCACCGGAGCAGCCGGGUGUCAGGGACCAGGCGGCUGCCCGGGGGCUGCUUAUGGCCUCUGACACCCAAUUCCUCAGUGCUUCCCACCACCCCGGCUCCUCCAGGGCCUUCUGUCCCCUUGGAACCUCCUGCCACCCACUCCCUCACACAUCCCCCUCGUGCCUUCCCACUGCCUUGUCCCGUCUGGGCCUCCGCAGCCCCUCAUCCCUUCACGGCCUCCCAGCACCCCGUGCCCUCAGGGGCUCCCCCAGCCCGGCCCGGCAGCAGCGCCGCAGCCCCACAGGAGCUCCAGGAGCUCCUCAGCCAUCACGGCAGCAACACACGGGCAGCAGGACACAGAUGGCGCUUCCUGCCUGCCACAGGGCUUGUGGCUUCAGCACAACCACCAAAGGCCAAGGGGCUUCUGGCCAUUUCCCCUGCACCACUGCACGCCCCGGCAGGUUGCUGAACACAAGAACCCUUUUCCCUCUCUUCCCCUAUGCCCCGCACACCCUGGGCAGCAAAAGAAAGGUCUUGGGACUCUUGUGGUUUAUAACAUAUCCUAUAUUAUUUACAUACUAGAUGGAAACGAAACGAAGAAAAAAACAAUCUCUAUGAAAAAAAAAAUAACAGAUGGCCCAUGUGGCCCCAGAAGACAGAGCCUCUCAGCCCUAACAUAUCCUAUAUUAUUUACAUACUAAAAAGAAANNNNNNNNNNNNNNNNNNNNNN